Molecule: long non-coding RNA, 1034 nt
Organism: Triticum urartu
Lineage: Eukaryota; Viridiplantae; Streptophyta; Magnoliopsida; Poales; Poaceae
Source: RefSeq, a predicted model, not a curated record
AACGCGACGGCUGCCGAGAUCCGCGGCGCUCAGCCCCAGCCUCGCCGCCGCCGCCUUGGAUAGCCGGGGCACGUACGCCUAGAUUAGGGUGGGGGAUGUUCGGGAUGCGGGCGAGCGGCGCGGGGAUGGGCACCUGUACGACGACCCGGAUGCCGUCGCCGUCCUGGCGCUCCUCGACUCCCCGCUUCGACGGCGAUAAGUCGACGCGCUCAAGCAUCGCGCAUGGCGUCUACGCUGACCACGUCUCCCGGCAGGUGGUCAGGAACGUCUCGCGUAGUCGCUUGAGGUGAAGAAGCUCGUCUAACUCUACCCUGCUCCACUACGCCAAGAAAAAUGUUAUUUUCAGGAAGAUUCAAGGGAUUCGAGUAGUGACCAGAAGCAUUGAAGAUUUUGCUAAGCAAGGCAAGCAACCUACUUUGAUCAUGGUGGACCCAUAUUUGCAUACACACUUUAUUAUUAUUUUUCAUGCAUAAAGUAUUGUUUGCUAUUAUUAUUGCCAUGGUAAGUAAAUUAGCCAGGGUUUAGCUAUGACCUAUGUGCUUGAUAUUGACAACCCCUUCUACAUACCCACUGGCCACAAAUAAAUGUGUCACAGGUGCAAGUUUAAUACUCCCUCUGGUCCAUAUUAGUUGUCGUUGAUUUAGUACAAGGAUGGGAGGGAGUAGUAAUCUUUGGCUAGUCAUAGGACUUGGGAAUAGUAUAUGUUACUACCUUCAUAAUGGGUAGUAAAAUAUGUGUGGUAUCAUGCAAGUCUUCAUUUAUUUAGAUGUAGAGUCAUUUUGCCUUGGAUUGCGUUAUGUUACGGCAAACACCUUUCUCCUCAUUAACCACUUGCCACAUAUAGCUAAGUUACUCUCCCACUAUGACCAACCUUAGCCUACUAGUCACAUAAAUCAUAGGACUUGGGAAUAAUCUUUGUUGCUCAUAACAAAUGUAUUAACAAACCAAGGGUGCCACUAACGCCCAUGGGAUGAUUCUCAAAACAAGCUUUUACAUAAUGGAGAUUAAGUGGGGAUGUUAUCAAAAGGCAAAGU